This 167-nucleotide ribosomal RNA is filed under the name uncultured bacterium. RNAcentral describes it as "partial 16S rRNA". It matches the Rfam family "Bacterial small subunit ribosomal RNA", at positions 352 to 511 of the family's 1533-position model. The record is from RNAcentral.
CAGUAGGGAAUCUUCCACAAUGGGCGAAAGCCUGAUGGAGCAACGCCGCGUGUGUGAUGAAGGGUUUCGGCUCGUAAAACACUGUUGUAAGAGAAGAAUGACAUUGAGAGUAACUGUUCAAUGUGUGACGGUAUCUUACCAGAAAGGAACGGCUAAACACGUGCCAG